Molecule: transfer RNA, 73 nt
Filed under: Geovibrio thiophilus
Lineage: Bacteria; Pseudomonadati; Deferribacterota; Deferribacteres; Deferribacterales; Geovibrionaceae
Also listed under: 1 other name
Rfam family: tRNA
About the family: Transfer RNA (tRNA) molecules are approximately 80 nucleotides in length.
Source: Rfam by way of RNAcentral
GGGAUAUUAGCUCAGUUGGUAGAGCAGCUGACUCUUAAUCAGUAGGUCGUAGGUUCGAGCCCUACAUAUCCCA